Long non-coding RNA from Mugil cephalus (flathead mullet), 2008 nucleotides. RefSeq lists it as uncharacterized. The record is from RefSeq and is a predicted model, not a curated record. The transcript has 2 exons. NCBI's taxonomy places the organism in Eukaryota, Metazoa, Chordata, Actinopteri, Mugiliformes, Mugilidae.
CGAUGAUGCUGAUGCUCUCCAGGACGGGAUUCGGCAUCUGGGCGCACAUGAACCUGAGGGGGAAACACAGAGUUGAGAGAUGCAGAAGCACAGAGCGGAGAAAACGAAAAGAGUGGGAAACGCUUCCUCUCUACAAUGAAUGCGAGGGUUAAUAUUCCAUGUCAGACCUGUCCUGCGAUUGGAAAUCUGGCUCCGACUCCUGACAGACGGUCUUCCUCUGCUGCUCCACCUCUUGACCUAUGGCCUACCUCUGCACGGUGACCUCAGCUUCCCACAGAUAAGUGGAAAAGGGGCCAGCACGCACGGCAGAUGUGAGGUUAGAGCUGGAUCAUUUUUCCACAUUUACUUCCUGUAAAAUCUUGCCUUGUGCGGGUGAACAAAUGAUCUACUACGUGAACGUCCGCAUGUGUCUUCAUGUAUAGUUGUUAUGUAAGACCGUCAGGCCCUAUCUCAGCAAAAUGCCGCAUCAGCGCCCUGGAGCAACAGGCCUUCGACAGGACAGGACGGAUCUGGUCAGUGUGGGCCAGGGUGGGCCACUGCGGAACUUAAACUUUGCUGACUCCAGUUCUACUGACUAAUGGCUUACAGGCAGCACAGAAAUAUACUGGAGCCUUCUGGCUGAAAUACACUUUAAAAUAAAAAGGAACAAGCGCCAGCUGAAUGUAGAAAACAAGUAUUCAGUUACUUGUAUGGAAAAUUCCGUCGCAAAAUCAGUGCAAAAUUAACGAGAGACAAUCAGAAAUGAGCACGGUGAAAAUUUUUAAAACUGAAAAAGUUAGCAGACUAAGUGGGUACACCAUCUCGUGUGAGCACAAGUUGUAGGUGUGAGGAUCACUUGACUGAUUCGUGUUUACUCUAUUCAUAAAUAAGUGGCUACACUGAGGGCAUUUCCCACAGAGCCUGGUAGUUAAAGGCUAAUCUGCAGGCUCCAUGACUAUGGUUAAGACGCCUCAAAUGAGUCAAAUAAUAAUCUGACCCCUUGUAUCAGCCGUCUACAUUUAGAAUUCAAAUCAGAAUUAGAAUUUAUGAGUAAAAAAAACACAGUAAAACAUGCAACAGUUGAAGGUCAGUCCAAAUAGUUGUAUCCCCCUGACAGGAAAAUGGAAAUUGAGUCCAGUCCAAACUUGGAUGUCUCUCUGGGUCUAGUUUUACGAACUGUAAACCUGUUCUUGGUUGUGAGCCCUUUGAGCCGUUCAUACAGGUCAUACACCUGUUGUUGUCAUAUUCACAUAUCCUGUUAGGCAUGAUCAUGUGACUUCUAAGCUAACAUAUCACCACUCAACCACGCAUUUGCCUCUGAGACAAAGAUGCGGACUGAAUUCAAAGAGAACCACAAAUCCCAUGAUACCUCAGGUCUGUUUCCAGUGUCCAGCAGUUUGACAAAUUAAGCUUCAGGGUACAAUAGCCUUUGUUUAUGCACAAUCUUAUCUGGCUUCCCCCCCCAAGUCUGUAAUAAACCCCAAGUAGUGAAUGUGUCUGUGAAGUCAAACAGCCAUCUAAUCUUUUGAAGCAUUACUUCAGUCUUUUGAGUCUGAGUGAUUUCACUUGGCAGAAGUUUGCACUCGUUCCAGAUAAGACAAACGCUUCUUUAUAAUUGAAGGAAGGGAUGUCAAUAGAUAAUGGAAAAUAGGCUGAACUUGGGAAGUGUCAACUUGGGAGUGUUUGGAUUACAAUAGCAUAUGGCACAACGACGUGCAUGAGAUUUGGAUCACGACUGCCGCCAAGCUAAUCAUUUGUGCAUCCGUUUGGCAGGUUAUUCAGGUAUUCUUCGGAAGAGAGGGGCAUAUAUGCACACCCUCUGCAGGCAGUAACACCAUCAACAAUCUGAUGUCACCAUACAUCUCCCUAAAGGACCCCAGAUUCAGAUCUUUUAACUUUCCUAAAGCCUGCCAGCUCUGAUUCAUGGCACCUUGCACUGUGAGCUGCACAGGGAGGAGCUACUUUAAUGUAAUAAAAGACUGGGAGACUUUCCACAAGUGUCCCUGGCAUUCCCUUUCUUUAAACACAA